RNAcentral lists this ribosomal RNA (232 nucleotides) under uncultured bacterium. RNAcentral describes it as "partial 16S ribosomal RNA". It matches the Rfam family "Bacterial small subunit ribosomal RNA", at positions 1260 to 1500 of the family's 1533-position model. The record is from RNAcentral.
ACCGGAUGCCGAUCUCGAAAACCUGUCCCAGUUCGGACUGGAGUCUGCAACCCGACUCCACGAAGUUGGAUUCGCUAGUAAUCGCGCAUCAGCCAUGGCGCGGUGAAUACGUUCCCGGGCCUUGUACACACCGCCCGUCAAGCCAUGGGAGCCGGGGGCGCCUGAAGUCCGGGACCGCGAGGACCGGCCUAAGGCGAAACUGGUGACUGGGGCUAAGUCGUAACAAGGUACC